Molecule: long non-coding RNA, 732 nt
Organism: Passer montanus (Eurasian tree sparrow)
Lineage: Eukaryota; Metazoa; Chordata; Aves; Passeriformes; Passeridae
Exons: 3
Source: RefSeq, a predicted model, not a curated record
CCGUAUUUCUCAUUGAAUUGUGUAUUCUAAUUGAAACAUCUGUCUAGUGAGGGAAGAGGUUUAAUUACCUUGACAGUAGGAAUGGAGCAGAUUUCAGGUUAGCUAAACUGUAAAGUUAGCAAGUUCAUUGGGCAUUUUUGCAGAAGCUGUGCAUAGGUGAAAUUUGGGCAUGGUCACCCCAGGACACCAUGUUAUUGGUGGGAGGAGGGAAACAAUCUCUGCCCGAAAAGGGGGAGCCUGAAGGGCUGAACCUGCAAUCUUCGUAACCUACAAACACAGCAGAGACGCCUCCAGCGUGUCGGGGAGUCAGACACAAGACUGCAGACAGAACUACAAUGAAAGCUCAUGUUUCAGAGCUUCCAGAAGAGGCUUGAACCUGUGAUCUGAUCUACUGCAUGUGUCUGCAAAGCAGGACUGAUGACCUCCAAGGCUCUCUGAGGUGUAAUUAUGGAAUCACAAAGUAUUUGGGAAUGGAAGUGACCUCUGGAGAUCAUCUAUACCAACCCCCUGCUAAAUCAGAUUCACCUAGAACAGGUUGCACAGGAUCACAUCCAGCAAAUGAUUCACUUGAUGAGGAAAAUUUAACCCUGAAGUCAAGCAGUAUGCCUGUCUGGUUGUGAUAUGCUUAUACAGAUUCCUGAAAGCUAUUGCUGCCCCUAAUUAAUUCUGUGAUGAUAGCCUGAGUUAUUUUACUUCAAUUUUGCACUUCAUUAAUAAAUGUACUAUACAGGA